Molecule: ribosomal RNA, 442 nt
Filed under: uncultured bacterium
Lineage: Bacteria
Description: bacterial SSU rRNA
Rfam family: Bacterial small subunit ribosomal RNA
Source: RNAcentral
AUGGGAACGCGAAGAACCUUACCUAGACUUGACAUCUCCUGAAUAGUGUAGAGAUACAUGAAGCCCUUCGGGGCAGGAAGACAGGUGGUGCAUGGUUGUCGUCAGCUCGUGUCGUGAGAUGUUGGGUUAAGUCCCGCAACGAGCGCAACCCUUAUUACUAGUUGCUACCAUUAAGUUGAGCACUCUAGUGAGACUGCCCGGGUUAACCGGGAGGAAGGCGGGGAUGACGUCAAAUCAUCAUGCCCCUUAUGUCUAGGGCAACACACGUGCUACAAUGGUGAGUACAGAUAGAUGCGAUACCGCAAGGUGGAGCCAAACUCUAAAACUCAUCCCAGUUCGGAUUGUAGGCUGCAACUCGCCUACAUGAAGUUGGAGUUGCUAGUAAUCGCGAAAUCAGAAUGUCGCGGUGAAUACGUUCCCGGGUCUUGUACACACCGAUCGG